This 252-nucleotide ribosomal RNA is filed under the name uncultured bacterium. Its description in RNAcentral is "partial 16S ribosomal RNA". It matches the Rfam family "Bacterial small subunit ribosomal RNA", at positions 524 to 776 of the family's 1533-position model. The record is from RNAcentral.
UACGAAGGGGGCUAGCGUUGCUCGGAAUCACUGGGCGUAAAGGGCGCGUAGGCGGCGUUUUAAGUCGGGGGUGAAAGCCUGUGGCUCAACCACAGAAUGGCCUCGAUACUGGGACGCUUGAGUAUGGUAGAGGUUGGUGGAACUGCGAGUGUAGAGGUGAAAUUCGUAGAUAUUCGCAAGAACACCGGUGGCGAAGGCGGCCAACUGGACCAUUACUGACGCUGAGGCGCGAAAGCCAGGGGAGCAAACGGG